This 2651-nucleotide ribosomal RNA is filed under the name Triticum aestivum (bread wheat). RNAcentral describes it as "partial small subunit ribosomal RNA". Lineage: Eukaryota; Viridiplantae; Streptophyta; Magnoliopsida; Poales; Poaceae. The record is from RNAcentral.
GAGGAUCUCGACCCAAGAUCUAGGGAUGCCACGGCUGAAGAGGUUGAGGAAGAGGUAAAACAAAGUUGCUUCUUUGACAAACGAAUGAAACCAACAAACCUUGAGAGGUUGAACAACUUAAAAGAAAGAAUACAUCGGAGACAAACAAGAUUGCAAACAGUCCGUUGGACAAGACAAACAAGGAAUACGACGAGAACCAAGAGCUUAGGGGACAAGAUAGAUUUUGAAACCACUCCGGUUAAAAUUAGCUGGACAAGGAAUAAUAAUAAACAAUUCGGGCAACACUCUGGUUGAAAAGAGACACAAGACUUGAUAAGAUGAAAAAACUCAAAAAGAGGACACAUCACUCCUGUUAGAUGGAUAAGCAAAGGAAAGAACAUGAUCUUAUAAGUGAGGUUGUUUCCCCACAUGUAUGAGCAUGAGAACAAGAUGGACAUUGACACACGCUCCUCCUCCGCCACCGCCGCACCACGCCGCGCUGUGGGUUGUGGGAAAGAGCCGAGCCGAUGUUCGCUUUGCCUCCCUCUUUUGCUUCAUCUCCCAUCACUGCCCUCUCGCCUCCUUCUCCUGUGCCUACAAAAGAGAGGUCGCUCCUCUCCAGAGAAACGCAUCAGAUAUUAUCUUCCUCUCGCCAUCGAGUUCCUGAUCACGACAGUAGGCCUCCGAAACCCCACCUCUUUGAGUCCUAUGCGGGAGAAGGGUGAUAAGAUUUUUGGGGAGCGCUCUGCGCGACUACUGACCGGUUCAUCACGGACGUUCCGAACACCGACAACCACUUCCCCAACGACGACUUCUUCCCCGACGUCGACAACCUCUUCGACAACAUGGCUGGCGACGACCUCGACCCCAAGACCGGUGCUUCUGCCGCUGCUCCAUACGUCUUUGUGUUCUUUCUGUUUAAGACCAUGCUACAAUUUCUUGCUCUAGCCUUUCUUGUUCUAGCCUCUGUCCUACAUAUGCUCUGUUCUAGUUCAUCCACUUCAUAUAUAACGAUGCUUUUUACCUUCUCUAUGUCAGAUUGCAUGACUUACUUUAUCUCUGUCAUAGUAGUCAUGUUUUAUCUAGUAUUUAUGUUCUUAAAAUCACAUGGUAAAUUGCUCAUAUUUCUAACAGAUUUGUGUCGGGUUGUGAGAGGAAGAAGAACGGGCUUGAGAAAGAUGAAAGGGCGGGACAAGGGAAGGACGUUGAGGAACGUCCGUUUCAUUGAAUCAGGAAAUUUUAUUUUCACAAUAUACAAGCUUCCAAGUUUAUACUAUUGGGAAAAUAUCUGGUGCACCGGAGCUUGUGGUGCUACCGAUGCACCGAACUCAUAUUGUACUUUUAAAAUGUUUAAAAAAUUGUGAAAAAAUAACGCACUCAUACAACAUCAAUGUAGGUUGUCACAAAAUUUUAAGUCAAAAUUCGAAACAUAACUCGAAAAACAAAAAUGACGAAUUCAACAUUGAAUAGUACAUAACAUAACUUGGGCUUUAGAUUUGGCCCAUUAUUACAGGAAUGUCAAAUUUGUCAUUUUUGUAUCUCAAAAAAUAUUUCAAUUUUUUAUACAAAUUGUUGUGACAACAUACAUUGAUGUUGCGUUAACGUGCUAGAUUUUUUUUUCAGAUUUUUUAAAAUAUUGUAUGUCAUCCGGUGCACCGGUAGCACCACAAGUGCGGGUGCACUGGAUACAUUCCCUUAUACUAUUACAUAGGCAAAUGCAUCGUUUCUACAGUACGACGAUCCAUGCAUGCGUUUAAUGUUCAUUAUUCAAAAUCCAUUUUUUUCAUAAAGAUUCAAAAUCCAUAUAUACACCAUACUGUAGCUAGCCAACACUGGAUGCUGCAUGGACUUAUGUAGUAUAAGUGUUUAUCUUCAUAUACAAGCUUACAACUUUGUGGUGUAUUACAUAGGCAAAUGAAUCGUUUGUACGAGGAUCCAUGCUUUAUUCAAAAAUAAAUCCGUAUAUACGCCAUGUAUUGCAGUCUGCAGCUGCAUGGUAUUCAGGUAUUGUACGUAGCUUAGCUGAUAAACCACAUGCAUACUCGAUGAUGCGUGGACUGACUGAUGUAGUAGUACUGGUGCUUAAGAGCUGUCCAUGGUCGGGUAGUAGGCGUAGGUGGCCAUGCCGCAGUUGCCGCCGUUCCCGCGCGUGAGGCGCAUAUAGCCCGCCUCGCCCCACCCCGUCCCCCACUGGUUCUUCACCAGCCAGUAAUCCUGCCCGCCACCGUCCGUCCCGUAGCCCACCACCGUGACGGCGUGGUUCAGGUUCUGCCCGCACGACGAGCUGCCCGUGUACACGCCGCUCAUGUACUGCUUGAAGUCAGAGUCGGCCUCCACGCCCACGGCCACCGGCUGGCUCGCCACGAGCUCCUGCAACGCACCCUCGUCGCCGUUCAGGCUCACCAUCCGGGGUGCGCCGACGGCGGCGGCUGAAUUUGGGCUGACGUCGCCGCCGCGGCACGUGCCCUGCUGGCCGAUAUACGCGUAGGCUGCCUCCUGCUGCAGAGUGUUGGGCAAUAAAGCCGUGGCGAGUCCGGGACGCGGUGCGCGCCUGCGUGCGCGCGGUGAACGCGUCGGGCUCGGCCCGUGGCAGCCUGGGUCGCGUGCGUGCGCGACUAGGCGUGUGUGUGUGUCCACGCGUUCGAGCGCAUGGGCCGUUGAGUGUAGGCGAG